GUGGUUUUACACUAUAUAUAUUUUGUCUGUUUUAAAGGUGUAAAGAAAGAAAGUAGUCAAGUUGAAACACUUAAAAGUUAAGUGAUUUUGUAUUUCUCAUGGGUUUUUUGCCUGUAGAAAUAUGCACUUUUAUAAAAUAACACGCGCUCCACUGUUUUUUUUUGUUUGCAAAACUAGACUAAAACUAAAACAAUUCAGAUUAAAAUACGACUAGAACUAAAAUGGCCUUUUAGUCAAAAGAUUAUGACUAAAACUAAACUGAAAUUUUCCGCCCAAAUUAACACUGGUCCAUAGCAGUUUGUUUUUGUUUUUUUUUUACUGUAAAGUACAGUAAUCAAUUGGACUGUUUAUCAUUACCCUUACUACUAACUAACAUACCUAAGAUAAGCUCUAAUCCUGAUUGUCAAUCAACUUUGCCAAUAUACG
Non-coding RNA from Pelobates cultripes (western spadefoot toad), 426 nucleotides. NCBI's taxonomy places the organism in Eukaryota, Metazoa, Chordata, Amphibia, Anura, Pelobatidae. The record is from the annotation of a GenBank genome assembly.